RNAcentral lists this ribosomal RNA (468 nucleotides) under uncultured bacterium. RNAcentral's name for it is "partial 16S ribosomal RNA". It matches the Rfam family "Bacterial small subunit ribosomal RNA", at positions 28 to 507 of the family's 1533-position model. The record is from RNAcentral.
GACGAACGCUGGCGGCGUGCUUAACACAUGCAAGUCGAACGGAAAGGCCCUGCUUUUGUGGGGUUCUCGAGUGGCGAACGGGUGAGUAACACGUGAGUAACCUGCCCUUGACUUUGGGAUAACUUCAGGAAACUGGGGCUAAUACCGGAUAGGAGCUCCUGCUGCAUGUGGGUGGUUGGAAAGUGUCGGCGGUUGGGGAUGGACUCGCGGGUUAUCAGCUUGUUUGUGGGGUAGUGGCUUACCAAGGCUUUGACGGGUAGCCGGCCUGAGAGGGUGACCGGCCACAUUGGGACUGCGAUACGGACCAGUAUCCUACGGGAGGCAGCAGUGGGGAAUAUUGCACAAUGGGCGGAAGCCUGAUGCAGCAACGCCGCGUGCGGGAUGACGGCCUUCGGGUUGUAAACCGCUUUCGCCUGUGACGAAGCGUGAGUGACGGUAAUGGGUAAAGAAGCACCGGCUAACUACGUG